GACGAACGCUGGCGGCGUGCUUAACACAUGCAAGUCGAACGGAAAGGCCCUGCUUUUGUGGGGUGCUCGAGUGGCGAACGGGUGAGUAACACGUGAGUAACCUGCCCUUGACUUUGGGAUAACUUCAGGAAACUGGGGCUAAUACCGGAUAGGAGCUCCUGCUGCAUGGUGGGGGUUGGAAAGUUUCGGCGGUUGGGGAUGGACUCGCGGCUUAUCAGCUUGUUGGUGGGGUAGUGGCUUACCAAGGCUUUGACGGGUAGCCGGCCUGAGAGGGUGACCGGCCACAUUGGGACUGAGAUACGGCCCAGACUCCUACGGGAGGCAGCAGUGGGGAAUAUUGCACAAUGGGCGGAAGCCUGAUGCAGCAACGCCGCGUGCGGGAUGACGGCCUUCGGGUUGUAAACCGCUUUCGCCUGUGACGAAGCGUGAGUGACGGUAAUGGGUAAAGAAGCACCGGCUAACUACGUGCCAGCAGCCGCGGUGAUACGUAGGGUGCGAGCGUUGUCCGGAUUUAUUGGGCGUAAAGGGCUCGUAGGUGGUUGAUCGCGUCGGAAGUGUAAUCUUGGGGCUUAACCCUGAGCGUGCUUUCGAUACGGGUUGACUUGAGGAAGGUAGGGGAGAAUGGAAUUCCUGGUGGAGCGGUGGAAUGCGCAGAUAUCAGGAGGAACACCAGUGGCGAAGGCGGUUCUCUGGGCCUUUCCUGACGCUGAGGAGCGAAAGCGUGGGGAGCGAACAGGCUUAGAUACCCUGGUAGUCCACGCUGUAAACGGUGGGUACUAGGUGUGGGGUCCAUUCCACGGGUUCCGUGCCGUAGCUAACGCUUUAAGUACCCCGCCUGGGGAGUACGGCCGCAAGGCUAAAACUCAAAGGAAUUGACGGGGCCCCGCACAAGCGGCGGAGCAUGCGGAUUAAUUCGAUGCAACGCGUAGAACCUUACCUGGGUUUGACAUGGAUCGGGAGUGCUCAGAGAUGGGUGUGCCUCUUUUGGGGUCGGUUCACAGGUGGUGCAUGCCUGUCGUCAGCUCGUGUCGUGAGAUGUUGGGUUAAGUCCCGCAACGAGCGCAACCCUUGUUCACUGUUGCCAGCACGUUAUGGUGGGGACUCAGUGGAGACCGCCGGGGUCAACUCGGAGGAAGGUGGGGAUGACGUCAAGUCCUCAUGCCCCUUAUGUCCAGGGCUUCACGCAUGCUACAAUGGCUGGUACAGAGAGUGGCGAGCCUGUGAGGGUGCGCGAAUCUCGGAAAGCCGGUCUCAGUUCGGAUUGGGGUCUGCAACUCGACCUCAUGAAGUCGGAGUCGCUAGUAAUCGCAGAUCAGCAACGCUGCGGUGAAUACGUUCCCGGGGCU
Molecule: ribosomal RNA, 1346 nt
Filed under: uncultured bacterium
Lineage: Bacteria
Description: bacterial SSU rRNA
Rfam family: Bacterial small subunit ribosomal RNA
Source: RNAcentral